GGGGGAGCAAGCGUUGUCGGAUUACUGGGCGUAAAGGGCGCGUAGGCGGCCACCGCAAGUCAGUUGUGAAAUCUCUGGGCUUAACCCAGAAAGGUCAACUGAUACUGCGGGGCUAGAGUGCAGAAGGGGCAACUGGAAUUCUCGGUGUAGCGGUGAAAUGCGUAGAUAUCGAGAGGAACACCUGCGGCGAAGGCGGGUUGCUGGGCUGACACUGACGCUGAGGCGCGAGAGCUAGGGGAGCGAACGGGAUUAGAUACCCCGGUAGUCCUAGCCUUAAACGAUGAAUGCUUGGUGUCUGGGGUUAUAUAGUCCCCGGGUGCCGUCGCUAACGCUUUAAGCAUUCCGCCUGGGGAGUACGGUCGCAAGACUG
RNAcentral lists this ribosomal RNA (370 nucleotides) under uncultured organism. RNAcentral's name for it is "bacterial SSU rRNA". It matches the Rfam family "Bacterial small subunit ribosomal RNA", at positions 528 to 896 of the family's 1533-position model. The record is from RNAcentral.